GUAUAGCAAUAGCUACUUGCAUCAUAGUAGAUAUGAUGCAAGAUCGACUAUGUUGAAUAAAAUUCUAGGUAGAAUUAUGAUAAUGACAUUGUCUGCCUAUGUGUCUUGACCAAAUUACGUGCCAGCAGUCGCGGUAAUACGUAGAAGACUAGUGUUAUUCAUGUUUAAUCGGUUUAAAGGGUACCUAGACGGUAGAUCAAGCUUUCUAAUAAAGGAAAAGGACUAAUUUACUAGAGUUACUUAUGAGGGGGUAUUAAAGUACUGCUGGUGUAGAGAUGAAAUUCUGUCAUACCUCUUUUCAAAAGAAAAACCAUGGCACAGGUAUAGGCGAAGGCAUCCCCUUAUGUGAUAACUGACGUUGAGGGACGAAGGCUUUGUGUAGCGAACAGGAUUAGAUACCCCAGUAGUCGAAGCAGAAAAUGAUGAAUGUCAUAGAUUAGAUAUAUAAGUUUAUUCUAUAAAUGAAAGUGUAAGCAUUCCACCUCAUGAGUAAUUUGGCAACAUUGGAACUGAAAUCAUUAGACCGUUUCUGAAACCAGUAGUGAAGUAUGUUGUUUAAUUUGAUGACCCGCAAAAAACCUUACCACAAUUUGAAUAUUUAUAUUAUUUAUUGUUUUAUUAUUAAUUUUCUUAUAGUAAGAAUAUURRUWWUAUUAYUAAUUUUCUUAUAGUAAGAAUAUUAAUAAAGAGGCAAUAAGAUAUAUUUACAAGCGUUGCACGGCUGUCUUCAGUUAAUGUCGCGAGACUUUGGUUAGUUCCAUUAAAUUAACGUAAACCCUUACUUUAUUUUUAUAUAGAGUAGUUCCCCGCUAUAUUGGAUAUGAUAACAGG
Molecule: ribosomal RNA, 831 nt
Filed under: Xanthoparmelia sp.
Lineage: Eukaryota; Fungi; Ascomycota; Lecanoromycetes; Lecanorales; Parmeliaceae
Description: SSU rRNA
Rfam family: Bacterial small subunit ribosomal RNA
Source: RNAcentral